AAAGAGAGCAAUUUUGGCCGUCA
Molecule: non-coding RNA, 23 nt
Filed under: Drosophila melanogaster (fruit fly)
Lineage: Eukaryota; Metazoa; Arthropoda; Insecta; Diptera; Drosophilidae
Source: RNAcentral